AGUGAACGCUGGCGGUAGGCCUAACACAUGCAAGUCGAACGGCAGCACAGUAAGAGCUUGCUCUUACGGGUGGCGAGUGGCGGACGGGUGAGGAAUACAUCGGAAUCUACUUUUUCGUGGGGGAUAACGUAGGGAAACUUACGCUAAUACCGCAUACGACCUACGGGUGAAAGCAGGGGAUCUUCGGACCUUGCGCGAUUGAAUGAGCCGAUGUCGGAUUAGCUAGUUGGCGGGAUAAAGGCCCACCAAGGCGACGAUCCGUAGCUGGUCUGAGAGGAUGAUCAGCCACACUGGAACUGAGACACGGUCCAGACUCCUACGGGAGGCAGCAGUGGGGAAUAUUGGACAAUGGGCGCAAGCCUGAUCCAGCCAUACCGCGUGGGUGAAGAAGGCCUUCGGGUUGAAAAGCCCUUUUGUUGGGAAAGAAAAGCAGCAGGUUAAUACCCCGCUGUUCUGACGGUACCCAAAGAAUAAGCACCGGCUAACUUCGUG
This 492-nucleotide ribosomal RNA is filed under the name uncultured bacterium. RNAcentral describes it as "partial 16S ribosomal RNA". It matches the Rfam family "Bacterial small subunit ribosomal RNA", at positions 29 to 507 of the family's 1533-position model. The record is from RNAcentral.